This is a non-coding RNA of Rattus norvegicus (Norway rat), 2172 nucleotides long. The record is from RefSeq and is a predicted model, not a curated record. Lineage: Eukaryota; Metazoa; Chordata; Mammalia; Rodentia; Muridae.
UCUUACUCUCACUGUUCCUCCAACUGGCUAGAUGCCUGGAAGUAAGUCAUGGCAUAUCCCCUGUCUCCGUGGCUUGUAGGUUUUGAUAGCCUUUCAGUAGGUGUGUCAGUAAGACCAGAGAAAAGAUUUGUCACUGCAAUUCCUUUGGCUUCCCUUGGGAUCUCUUUCUUUCACCCAGGGCUGGUCCAGGUGGGCUGGCAUCUGGGUGGAGGCUGGAUGCAUGCCCUGACAGCCCUCCAUGAUCUGUGAGCCAAGCAAAGUCUGCCUGCUGCCAGAGUGGGACUGUGCCUGAGAUCUGGCAACACCCGGCCAGCAUGUCCUAUCAAGGCUGAACUAAAAAUAGGUCUUAUGCAUAGAGCCUAGAAAAACCAGCAGCCCAGCACACAGAGGUUGGCUAAUCAUCAGAUCGAACCAAGCUGCCACCACCACUCUAGGUACCAGCACCAUACGGGUGUCACCUCCAUCUGACACAGGUAGAACAACUGAGCAAACGUUCUCAUGGUUUACCGAUUUUCCCAUCUCUAAUUCCUGCACAGCAACCUUCCCAUAACUGAGUCUGCACAGAACAUGAAUUCCGGGCCUGUUCUUUUCUCUCUCUACACAGUUGCUGUCAGCUCCACUUAAGAUUCUUUCUUUAUACCACCCGUGUUCCUCCCAGCAUCUUUGUGAAAGGGGACUAGAGGAUGAGCACAUAUGAAAUGUUUAAAUAGUAGGAGUCACAGAAGACCUUGACACAGGCAUGAGUCUACAGUGGGGACCCAGGGUGAAGAGCAGAAUGAAAAUGAGACCCAGGUUCCCUGUCUGCCCAGCCAAUCUCCAGAACUUCAGGGCCAGUCCCCAGAGGCAGACUGGCUGUUCCCAACAGUGCUUAGGGAACAACAUGCCCCCGCCUUGCCCCUAGGCUACUGCCAGCAUUUGGAUAGUUUCCCCUUUGGUUGUUUAUGACUGGAGACAGCACAGCUGUAAACAUCCAACAUCUGAACAUAGAUGGCCGCUUUAUUUUGGAUUAUUUUUUUUCCUUGAGCUCACAUCCUCCAAGUAGAAUUACUGGGUCAAAAAGUACAGACAGUAUUACAGCUCAAGGAAAGCUAGAGUCUUUGAGCCUGCCAGGAGGAGGGACUUCCCAUUUUCCCAGAGGGCUUCAGCGGCUGGGGAUGCUGGUGUUAAGUCUGGAGGGGAAGAAGAGCCCUGGGCUGAAUCCUCAGAUCAACGAUUGAUACAACUGUGGCUGGCAGGAAGUUACACCAGUCUUAGGCAUCCCAGCACCCAUGAAUGACUAUCCCAGCUCUUACUGAAGUGUUGCCUGCAUCUGGGUAUGGAAAUACAGCAAAGAAGCAUACUUGGCUACAAGAUCAUUACUUUCCAGUUGGGCUCUUAUGAACUGCCUUCACCUCCCUAAAGCCUGCAGUUGGUGACCCUCCUCUGAUCCUUGACAGCUUUUUCUGGGCCCCCCAAAAUGCCGGCCCUGAACCAAGAAUGAACUCAGAUAAGUGAAUAAGCUCCAGGAAGCUUAGCGUCCCUCACAGGGUGGCUCUAAUAAAUUCCAGAAAACAAAAAGCAGGUGUUGGCCAUCUUUCUCCUGCCCAAAGAGUUAUUUACACAAGUUUCCACAGCAAUCCGCUUCAUCGUUUGACAUGCCUAUUACACGGUUCUCUUUGGGGAAAGGUCUGGAGUUAGUUAGCUCGGUGGAUUAGAGAGCAAGUCCCUCAAGGCCAAGGGCAAUGAAAGCCUUUUCCUUCUCUCCACUCCCCCAUUCAUUCACAGUGCCUGUGCCCUGCCAGGUCGUCCGUCCUGUUAGAGAAUGAGCCCAGACAAUGCUCCUCACUCCUCUCUUCUGAAGGCAGCCAAAGCGCAGAUAGAAGAAGGUCAGUAGUAUUGGUCCCACUAAACAAUGGAUGGAAUUGAAUUCCUCAAAGAGUAAGAGGCCCUCAAUGUUCUCGGCACAUCCAAGGGGCCGAACUGCUUUCUGGACCUCUUCAAAGCUGAACAUUCUCAAUACCAGAAGUCCGUGACACAAAGAAGAACAAACAUGCUAUGACUUCUCCAGCUAGGAUCCUGUCAUGACUUUGAGCUAUGUGGGACUCAUGGUGGUGAUUGCUCCAACUUCGGACACAGUUUGUAAUUUACCUGUAAGGUUCUCCUGAAAUUGCUGACACUCUUGACGAUACCUUC